Molecule: long non-coding RNA, 1749 nt
Organism: Populus euphratica (Euphrates poplar)
Lineage: Eukaryota; Viridiplantae; Streptophyta; Magnoliopsida; Malpighiales; Salicaceae
Exons: 2
Source: RefSeq, a predicted model, not a curated record
GGACUUUUUUAUUUCAGAUGUUCUAAUGAUGAAAAAAAAAAAUCUUACUUUGCAUUUAGCACAACACAUCAUUUCAGCUUUUGCAUUGCAUAAUAUGAUUUCAGUUUGACCUUUAGUUCUGGUUGCAUUUGUAUCUUAGGAUUUUCAGUCUAUUGUAUGGGGCUUGUCUUUACUGACAUCUUAGUGGAUCCUUUGAAAGUCUUCUGUGCACCUUUAUGCAUGCUACAUGUCAAACAACCAAACUUCUUCAUAUAUUUGGUGUGUGAAUCAUAAGCAGGUGACCUAAUAAUCAAAGACUCUUGGACAAACUCUCAAUCUCAUGUUAGAACUGAAGAGUAGUUGGAUCUACUUAAACAACUGCAAUUUAUCUUAUUUGAUCCAUUUAUUUAAGACAUGACAAUGAUGUAGAUUUUUUUAAAAUUCAAGCCAGUUAAUGUACUAUCCAGAAUUUUAGGACUCUUGAGGUUCAUCAACAAUUAUACGGGUGUUUGGUAUUUUGGUUGCUUAUAAGCCACUGGUAAGGUACCUGCAGUGGAGUGCCCCAACUGGAGACCUUGCACUGUAGCUUAAGUGGCUUCCAAGGCACCACAAUGCCAAGCUCAACCAUAAUCAUGGUUUGUUGUUGGUUUUAGUCAUGGACGUGCCUGUUUUUUUUUUUGUUAAGAGACAGGACCAAACCUGCCAACAUAUUUACGUUCAAAGUAUAGUUGGUUGUCUUUUUGUGUUGAAAUGCAUGUAAAAAGAACUUGAAAUAAGAGUCAAGAUCUACUAGUUCAUUGGAAUUUGAAUCUGAUCAGUAGAAGCUUGAUUACAAAGCUUAAAGUAUCUCCAAGUAUUUAAAAGCAUUAUGUGCUAUUGUUUGUAUAAUGUAUUUUAUAUAAAAGGUUAGCAGGUUGUUUAUGGUUUGAGCAGUUAGCCUUGCCUGUUAUUAACUUAACUUCUAGCUGUCUCAUUAUGUAUUUAAGCAGAAUUGAUUGCAAAAUAUGCAAAUUAGCCAUAUUCAGUUAAUGGAUUAGAAUGUGAUUAGGUAAAGCUGACGGCUUUUGAUGAAUCCCAUUUUUUCAAUUUUAGGAAAUUUCCUUUUCCAACACAUGGUAAUGAAAAUGGGAGCUCCUCCUUUGUACUUCUCUUCAUUUGUAUAUUCAAUGCCUUAGAAUUUAUAAAAAUGUGCAGCCUGACUAGGUCAUGCAGGGAUUUUUCUUUUCUGAAUUCUAGGAUAAGGUAAAUUUUGACAUGGUCAUCAGGUUUCUGUGUUUGCUUGUUCAAAGGAUUAUUUUUAUUUGUUACCUGCUUAUGCACUAGCACCUUUAGACUGAUACUUAAGUUCUUGGUCUCAUGCACCCGAGCCCAACUAUUACUAACUGUACUGCAUUUUCUCUAUAUUGUAAUGAUAAUGUGUAAAUUGACAGCAUGUGCUGGUCUUUCUCCCAACUCCUGUCUGGUCAUGUUUGAGUGUCUCCCGCCCAGGUUGCAUAAUUGUAAUUAGUGGCACCCAGUCUUCAGGAUGAAUGACUGUCUGAAUUUGUUUUGGUCAAUCUCUUUCUCAAAUGUGAAAAUCAAUCUCCCCUGCAUGUCUUUGUACAUUCUCUCCUCUGCAUGUCUUUGGACAUGCUCUUUCACCCUCUUCCUCUUUUUAAACCAAAAAGGCAGGAGGAAAACACCAACGCUAGGAAUUUGAACCAUAGUGACCUCCUAGAAAAAACUGAAGUGUACUUUGCCCCAUGGCUUGGAGAAACCAGAUAAGACACU